Molecule: ribosomal RNA, 2890 nt
Filed under: Aeromonas veronii
Lineage: Bacteria; Pseudomonadati; Pseudomonadota; Gammaproteobacteria; Aeromonadales; Aeromonadaceae
Description: 23S ribosomal RNA
Rfam family: Bacterial large subunit ribosomal RNA
Source: RNAcentral
GGUUAAGUGACUAAGCGUACAUGGUGGAUGCCUUGGCAGUCAGAGGCGAUGAAGGACGUACUAACCUGCGAUAAGCUGUGAGAAGUCGGUAAGAGACGCUAUUACUCACAGAUUUCCGAAUGGGGAAACCCACCCGAGAUAACUCGGGUAUCUGUUACUGAAUACAUAGGUAACAGAGGCGAACCGGGAGAACUGAAACAUCUAAGUACCCCGAGGAAAAGAAAUCAACCGAGAUUCCCUCAGUAGCGGCGAGCGAACGGGGAUUAGCCCUUAAGCAUCUUGGAAGUUAGUGGAACGGUCCUGGAAAGGCCGGCGAUACAGGGUGAUAGCCCCGUACACGAAAACAACCUUGAUGUGAAAUCGAGUAGGGCGGGACACGUGACAUCCUGUCUGAAUAUGGGGGGACCAUCCUCCAAGGCUAAAUACUCCUGACUGACCGAUAGUGAACCAGUACCGUGAGGGAAAGGCGAAAAGAACCCCUGUGAGGGGAGUGAAAUAGAACCUGAAACCGUGUACGUACAAGCAGUGGGAGCCCUUCGGGGUGACUGCGUACCUUUUGUAUAAUGGGUCAGCGACUUACAUUUUGUAGCGAGGUUAACCGUAUAGGGGAGCCGUAGGGAAACCGAGUCUUAACUGGGCGUCUAGUUGCAAGGUGUAGACCCGAAACCGGGUGAUCUAGCCAUGGGCAGGUUGAAGGUUGAGUAACAUCAACUGGAGGACCGAACCCACUAACGUUGCAAAGUUAGGGGAUGACCUGUGGCUGGGGGUGAAAGGCCAAUCAAACUCGGAGAUAGCUGGUUCUCCCCGAAAGCUAUUUAGGUAGCGCCUCGGACGAAUACUACUGGGGGUAGAGCACUGUUUGGGCUAGGGGGUCAUCCCGACUUACCAACCCCAUGCAAACUCCGAAUACCAGUAAGUAAUAUCCGGGAGACACACGGCGGGUGCUAACGUCCGUCGUGAAGAGGGAAACAACCCAGACCGCCGGCUAAGGUCCCAAAGUUCUGGUUAAGUGGGAAACGAUGUGGGAAGGCUCAGACAGCUAGGAUGUUGGCUUAGAAGCAGCCAUCAUUUAAAGAAAGCGUAAUAGCUCACUAGUCGAGUCGGCCUGCGCGGAAGAUGUAACGGGGCUCAAACCAGGCACCGAAGCCGCGGAUUCACACUUAUGUGUGAGUGGUAGGGGAGCGUUCUGUAAGUCUGCGAAGGUGUAUCGAGAGGUAUGCUGGAGAUAUCAGAAGUGCGAAUGCUGACGUAAGUAACGAUAAAGGGGGUGAAAAGCCUCCUCGCCGGAAGACCAAGGGUUCCUGUCCAACGUUAAUCGGGGCAGGGUGAGUCGACCCCUAAGGCGAGGCCGAAAGGCGUAGUCGAUGGGAAGCAGGUUAAUAUUCCUGCACGACUUGUAAUUGCGAUGGGGGGACGGAGAAGGCUAGGUGGGCCAGGCGACGGUUGUCCUGGUGAAAGUGCGUAGGUGGUGUUUCUAGGCAAAUCCGGAGACACAACACUGAGACACGAGACGAACACACUACGGUGUGGAAGCCAUUGAUGCCCUGCUUCCAGGAAAAGCCUCUAAGCUUCAGAUUACAAGUCAUCGUACCCCAAACCGACACAGGUGGUCGGGUAGAGAAUACCAAGGCGCUUGAGAGAACUCGGGUGAAGGAACUAGGCAAAAUAGAACCGUAACUUCGGGAGAAGGUUCGCUCUUGACAGUGAAGUCCCUUGCGGAUGGAGCAGUUGGGAGUCGCAGUGACCAGAUGGCUGGGACUGUUUAUCAAAAACACAGCACUCUGCAAACACGAAAGUGGACGUAUAGGGUGUGACACCUGCCCGGUGCCGGAAGGUUAAUUGAUGGGGUUAGCGCAAGCGAAGCUCUUGAUCGAAGCCCCGGUAAACGGCGGCCGUAACUAUAACGGUCCUAAGGUAGCGAAAUUCCUUGUCGGGUAAGUUCCGACCUGCACGAAUGGUGUAACCAUGGCCAUGCUGUCUCCACCCGAGACUCAGUGAAAUCGAAUUCGCCGUGAAGAUGCGGUGUACCCGCGGCUAGACGGAAAGACCCCGUGAACCUUUACUACAGCUUGGCACUGAACAUUGAACCUACAUGUGUAGGAUAGGUGGGAGGCUUUGAAGGCGUGACGCCAGUUGCGCUGGAGCCGUCCUUGAAAUACCACCCUUGUAUGUUUGAUGUUCUAACGCAGGGCCCUGAAUCGGGCUCGCGGACAGUGCCUGGUGGGUAGUUUGACUGGGGCGGUCUCCUCCCAAAGAGUAACGGAGGAGCACGAAGGUUGGCUAAUCCUGGUCGGACAUCAGGAGGUUAGUGCAAUGGCAUAAGCCAGCUUAACUGCGAGACGGACAGGUCGAGCAGGUACGAAAGUAGGUCAUAGUGAUCCGGUGGUUCUGAAUGGAAGGGCCAUCGCUCAACGGAUAAAAGGUACUCCGGGGAUAACAGGCUGAUACCGCCCAAGAGUUCAUAUCGACGGCGGUGUUUGGCACCUCGAUGUCGGCUCAUCACAUCCUGGGGCUGAAGUCGGUCCCAAGGGUAUGGCUGUUCGCCAUUUAAAGUGGUACGCGAGCUGGGUUCAGAACGUCGUGAGACAGUUCGGUCCCUAUCUGCCGUGGGCGUUGGAUGAUUGAAGGGAGUUGCUCCUAGUACGAGAGGACCGGAGUGAAAGAACCUCUGGUGUUCGGGUUGUCACGCCAGUGGCACUGCCCGGUAGCUAAGUUCGGAAUCGAUAACCGCUGAAAGCAUCUAAGCGGGAAGCGAGCCCUGAGAUGAGUCAUCCCUGACCCCUUGAGGGUCCUAAAGGGCCGUUGGAGACCACAACGUUGAUAGGUGGGGUGUGUAAGCGCGGCGACGUGUUGAGCUAACCCAUACUAAUUACCCGUGAGGCUUAACCAU